This 1468-nucleotide ribosomal RNA is filed under the name human gut metagenome. Its description in RNAcentral is "bacterial LSU rRNA". It matches the Rfam family "Bacterial large subunit ribosomal RNA", at positions 501 to 1989 of the family's 2925-position model. The record is from RNAcentral.
CUGUGAAGGAAAGGUGAAAAGGACCCCGGGAGGGGAGUGAAAGAGAACCUGAAACCAUAUGUUUACAAGCUGUGGAAGAGCUUUCUAUGCUCAACCGCGUACUUUUUGUAGAACGGUCCGGCGAGUUGCGCUGGCUGGCGAGGUUAAGGACUGAAGGUCCGGAGCCGAAGGGAAACCAAGUCUGAAUAGGGCGAAUAUAGUCAGUCGGAGCAGACCCGAAACCGGGUGAUCUACCCAUGUCCAGGUUGAAGUUGCCGUAAAAGGCAAUGGAGGACCGAACGCACAUCCGUUGAAAAGGGUGGCGAUGAGGUGUGGGUAGGGGAGAAAUUCCAAUCGAACCCGGAGAUAGCUGGUUCUCCUCGAAAUAGCUUUAGGGCUAGCCUCAUACGAGUCUUGCGGAGGUAGAGCACUGAAUUUCCUAGGGGGCGUCAAAGCUUACCGAAGAAUAUCAAACUCCGAAUGCCGCGUAGAUGAUGUAUGGGAGUCAGACUAUACGAGAUAAGUUGGAUAGUCGAAAGGGAAAGAGCCCAGACCACCGGCUAAGGUCCCAAAAUGUGUGUUAAGUGGAAAAGGAUGUGGGAUUUCGAAGACAACCAGGAUGUUGGCUUAGAAGCAGCCAUACAUUAAAAGAGUGCGUAAUAGCUCACUGGUCGAGAGGUCCUGCGCCGAAAAUGUCCGGGGCUAAAACACACUACCGAAGCCGUGGAAUCAUCGAAUGAUGAUUGGUAGAGGAGCAUUCUUAAAGAGAAGAAGCUGUACUGUAAAGAGCAGUGGAUUUUUAAGAAGAGAGAAUGCCGGAAUGAGUAGCGAGAGGAAGGUGAGAAUCCUUCCGGCCGAAUAUCUAAGGUUUCCAGAGUAAAGCUGAUCUGCUCUGGGUAAGUCGGGGCCUAAGGCGAGGUCGAAAGACGUAGUCGAUGGAUAACAGGUUGAAAUUCCUGUACUAUGAUAUGACAGAACUGUGGGGACACGUGUGGAAAGUGGAAGCCGGGAAUGGAAAGACCGGUGCAAGCAAGGUAGGAGACUGGUUGGCAAAUCCGCCAGUCAAUCUGAAGAUGUGAUGCGUACUGAAAUAUAAGUAGGGAAGUCCGUGAGCCAUGCGUCAAGAAAAGCCGCUAUUGUUCAUAUCGUACCCGUACCGUAAACCGACACAGGUGGAUGAGGAGAGAAUCCUAAGGCCGACGGGAGAAGCAUUGUUAAGGAACUCGGCAAAAUGACUCCGUAACUUCGGGAGAAGGAGUGCCAGUGAGAGCUGGCCGCAGAGAAUUGGCCCAAGCAACUGUUUAGCAAAAACACAGGUCUAUGCAAAACCGAAAGGUGAAGUAUAUGGGCUGACGCCUGCCCGGUGCUGGAAGGUUAAGGGGAGAGGUUAGCGGUAACGCGAAGCUUUGAACUUAAGCCCCAGUAAACGGCGGCCGUAACUAUAACGGUCCUAAGGUAGCGAAAUUCCUUGUCGGGUAAGUUCCGACCC